AAUAGAUACCCGGGUAGUCCACGCCGUAAACGAUGAGUGCUAAGUGUUAGAGGGUUUCCGCCCUUUAGUGCUGCAGCUAACGCAUUAAGCACUCCGCCUGGGGAGUACGGCCGCAGGGCUGAAACUCAAAGGAAUUGACGGGGGCCCGCACAAGCGGUGGAGCAUGUGGUUUAAUUCGAAGCAACGCGAAGAACCUUACCAGGUCUUGACAUCCUCUGACAACCCUAGAGAUAGGGCUUUCCCCUUCGGGGGACAGAGUGACAGGUGGUGCAUGGUUGUCGUCAGCUCGUGUCGUGAGAUGUUGGGUUAAGUCCCGCAACGAGCGCAACCCUUGAUCUUAGUUGCCAGCAUUCAGUUGGGCACUCUAAGGUGACUGCCGGUGACAAACCGGAGGAAGGUGGGGAUGACGUCAAAUCAUCAUGCCCCUUAUGACCUGGGCUACACACGUGCUACAAUGGAUGGUACAAAGGGCUGCAAACCUGCGAAGGUAAGCGAAUCCAUAAAGCCAUUCUCAGUUCGGAUUGCAGG
RNAcentral lists this ribosomal RNA (528 nucleotides) under uncultured bacterium. Its description in RNAcentral is "bacterial SSU rRNA". It matches the Rfam family "Bacterial small subunit ribosomal RNA", at positions 777 to 1304 of the family's 1533-position model. The record is from RNAcentral.